CCUACGGGAGACAGCAGUAGGGAAUCGUCCACAAUGGGCGAAAGCCUGAUGGAGCAACGCCGCGUGGGUGAAGAAGGUCUUCGGAUCGUAAAACCCUGUUGUUAGAGAAGAAAGUGCGUGAGAGUAACUGUUCACGUUUCGACGGUAUCUAACCAGAAAGCCACGGCUAACUACGUGCCAGCAGCCGCGGUAAUACGUAGUUGGCAAGCGUUAUCCGGAUUAAUUGGGCGUAAAGGGAACGCAGGCGGUCUUUUAAGUCUGAUGUGAAAGCCUUCGGCUUAACCGGAUUAGUGCAUUGGAAACUGUGAGACUGGAGUGCAGAGGAGGAGAGUGGACCUCCAUGUGUAGCGGUGAAAUGCGUAGAUAUAUGGAAGAACACCAGUGGCGAAAGCGGCUCUCUGGUCUGUAACUGACGCUGAGGUUCGAAAGCGUGGGUAGCAAACAGGAUUAGCUACCCUAGUAGUC
This 465-nucleotide ribosomal RNA is filed under the name uncultured bacterium. RNAcentral describes it as "partial 16S ribosomal RNA". It matches the Rfam family "Bacterial small subunit ribosomal RNA", at positions 338 to 795 of the family's 1533-position model. The record is from RNAcentral.